AUUGAACGCUGGCGGCAUGCCUUACACAUGCAAGUCGAACGGUAACGGCCCUUCGGGUGCCGACGAGUGGCGAACGGGUGAGUAAUACAUCGGAACGUGCCCGAUCGUGGGGGAUAACGGGGCGAAACCUUUGCUAAUACCCCAUACGAUCUACGGCUAAAAGCGGGGGCCCGCAGGGCCUUGCCCGGCCGCAGCGGCCGAUGGCAGAUUAGGUAGGUGGUGGGAUAAAAGCUUACCAAGCCGACGACCUGUAGCUGGUCUGCGAGGAUGAUCAGCAACACUGGGACUGAGACACGGCCCAGACUCCUGCGGGAGGCAGCAGUGGGGAAUUUUGGACAAUGGGCGCAAGCCUGAUCCAGCCAUGCCGCGUGCAGGAUGAAGGCCUUCGGGUUGUAAACUGCUUUUGUACGGAACGAAAAGCCUUCUUUUAAUGCAGGAGGGUCAUGACGGUACCGUAAGAAUAAGCACCGGCUAACUACGUG
This 482-nucleotide ribosomal RNA is filed under the name uncultured bacterium. Its description in RNAcentral is "partial 16S ribosomal RNA". It matches the Rfam family "Bacterial small subunit ribosomal RNA", at positions 30 to 507 of the family's 1533-position model. The record is from RNAcentral.